GGGGAUUGCGUCUGAUUAGCUAGUUGGAGGGGUAACGGCCCACCAAGGCAAUGAUCAGUAGCCGGUCUGAGAGGAUGAACGGCCACAUUGGGACUGAGACACGGCCCAGACUCCUACGGGAGGCAGCAGUGGGGAAUCUUCCGCAAUGGACGAAAGUCUGACGGAGCAACGCCGCGUGAGUGAUGACGGCCUUCGGGUUGUAAAGCUCUGUUAAUCGGGACGAAAGGUCCUCUUGCGAAUAGUUAGAGGAAUUGACGGUACCGGAAUAGAAAGCCACGGCUAACUACGUGCCAGCAGCCGCGGUAAUACGUAGGUGGCAAGCGUUGUCCGGAAUUAUUGGG
RNAcentral lists this ribosomal RNA (341 nucleotides) under Streptococcus pneumoniae. Its description in RNAcentral is "bacterial SSU rRNA". It matches the Rfam family "Bacterial small subunit ribosomal RNA", at positions 226 to 558 of the family's 1533-position model. Lineage: Bacteria; Bacillati; Bacillota; Bacilli; Lactobacillales; Streptococcaceae. The record is from RNAcentral.